AUAGCUUUGGUCCUGGGCUUACCGUUAUUUUUUAUCAAGAUUAUACAUGCAAGCCUCAACAAAUCCAGUGAAAAUGCCCAAAACCCCUUAAAAGAUUAAAUGGAGCAUGCAUCAGGCACUAUAGCAAGCCCAUAACGCCUUACCUCGCCACACCCCCACGGGCUACCAGCAGUAAUAAACAUUGGGCUAUAAGUGAAAACUUGACCCAACUAUGAUAACUUAGGGCUGGUCAAUUUCGUGCCAGCCACCGCGGUUAAACGAAAGGCCCUGAAUAACGGCAAAACGGCGUAAAAUGUGACUAGAUAUGCUUAAUUUUAAAAAUAUUAAAAUCUACAACUUAGUAAAAUACUUAAGCUAUAGAGAAAACCAAUACAAAUAUUUUUAACCUUCAACCCUUGACCACACGAAAGCUUAGAAACAAACUAGGAUUAGAUACCCUACUAUGCUAAGCCCUAAACAUUGAUAAGCUAACAUACUAUGCUUUCCGCCAGAGAACUACAAGUGAAAAACUUGAAACUCAAAGGACUUGGCGGUGUCCCAUAUCGG
RNAcentral lists this ribosomal RNA (546 nucleotides) under Atlantolacerta andreanskyi. RNAcentral's name for it is "partial 12S ribosomal RNA". It matches the Rfam family "Bacterial small subunit ribosomal RNA", at positions 9 to 929 of the family's 1533-position model. The record is from RNAcentral. Lineage: Eukaryota; Metazoa; Chordata; Lepidosauria; Squamata; Lacertidae.